This 74-nucleotide transfer RNA is filed under the name Toxocara canis (dog roundworm). It matches the Rfam family "tRNA". Rfam says of the family: Transfer RNA (tRNA) molecules are approximately 80 nucleotides in length. Their secondary structure includes four short double-helical elements and three loops (D, anti-codon, and T loops). Lineage: Eukaryota; Metazoa; Nematoda; Chromadorea; Rhabditida; Toxocaridae. The record is from Rfam by way of RNAcentral.
GCCGCCAUAGCUCAGUCGGUUAGAGCGUGCGUCUAAUAAGCGCAAGGUCGCAGGUUCGAUCCCUGCUGGUGGCA